Molecule: ribosomal RNA, 396 nt
Filed under: uncultured bacterium
Lineage: Bacteria
Description: partial 16S ribosomal RNA
Rfam family: Bacterial small subunit ribosomal RNA
Source: RNAcentral
AUACGUAGGUGGCGAGCGUUGUCCGGAUUUACUGGGUGUAAAGGGCGAGUAGGCGGGAAUUCAAGUCAGAUGUGAAAUACCGAGGCUUAACUUCGGAGCUGCAUUUGAAACUGGAUUUCUUGAGUGAUGGAGAGGCAGGCGGAAUUCCCGGUGUAGCGGUGAAAUGCAUAGAGAUCGGGAGGAACACCAGUGGCGAAGGCGGCCUGCUGGACAUUAACUGACGCUGAGGCGCGAAAGUGUGGGGAGCAAACAGGAUUAGAUACCCUGGUAGUCCACACCGUAAACGAUGGAUACUAGGUGUGGGGGGUUUGACCCCCUCCGUGCCGGAGUUAACACAAUAAGUAUCCCACCUGGGGAGUACGAUCGCAGGAUUGAAACUCAAAUGAAUUGACGGGG